Molecule: ribosomal RNA, 678 nt
Filed under: Staphylococcus aureus
Lineage: Bacteria; Bacillati; Bacillota; Bacilli; Caryophanales; Staphylococcaceae
Description: partial 23S ribosomal RNA
Rfam family: Bacterial large subunit ribosomal RNA
Source: RNAcentral
GAAAAGCCUCUAGAUAGAAAAUAGGUGCCCGUACCGCAAACCGACACAGGUAGUCAAGAUGAGAAUUCUAAGGUGAGCGAGCGAACUCUCGUUAAGGAACUCGGCAAAAUGACCCCGUAACUUCGGGAGAAGGGGUGCUCUUUAGGGUUAACGCCCAGAAGAGCCGCAGUGAAUAGGCCCAAGCGACUGUUUAUCAAAAACACAGGUCUCUGCUAAACCGUAAGGUGAUGUAUAGGGGCUGACGCCUGCCCGGUGCUGGAAGGUUAAGAGGAGUGGUUAGCUUCUGCGAAGCUACGAAUCGAAGCCCCAGUAAACGGCGGCCGUAACUAUAACGGUCCUAAGGUAGCGAAAUUCCUUGUCGGGUAAGUUCCGACCCGCACGAAAGGCGUAACGAUUUGGGCACUGUCUCAACGAGAGACUCGGUGAAAUCAUAGUACCUGUGAAGAUGCAGGUUACCCGCGACAGGACGGAAAGACCCCGUGGAGCUUUACUGUAGCCUGAUAUUGAAAUUCGGCACAGCUUGUACAGGAUAGGUAGGAGCCUUUGAAACGUGAGCGCUAGCUUACGUGGAGGCGCUGGUGGGAUACUACCCUAGCUGUGUUGGCUUUCUAACCCGCACCACUUAUCGUGGUGGGAGACAGUGUCAGGCGGGCAGUUUGACUGGGGCGGUCGCCUCCU